GACGAACGCUGGCGGCGUGCUUAACACAUGCAAGUCGAACGGAAAGGCCUGCUUUCCCUUGUGGUUUGCGGGUACUCGAGUGGCGAACGGGUGAGUAACACGUGAGUGAUCUGCCCCCAACUUGGGUAUAAGCCUGGGAAACUGGGUCUAAUUCCCGAUAGGACUGCAGGGUGGUGCCUGUGGUGGAACACGAUUUUCUAGUGGUUGGGGAUGAGCUCGCGGCCUAUCAGCUUGUUGGUGGGGUAAUGGCCUACCAAGGCGGCGACGGGUAGCCGGCCUGAGAGGGUGGACGGCCACAGUGGGACUGGGACACGGCCCAGACUGCUACGGGAGGCAGCAGUGGGGAAUAUUGCACAAUGAGCGGAAGCCUGAUGCAGCGACGCCGCGUGGGGGAUGACGGCCUUCGGGUUGUAAACUCCUUUCGACCGCGAGGAAGCCACCUGGUUGGAAGGGUGGUGACGGUAGUGGUAGAAGAAGCACCGGCUAACUACGUG
Molecule: ribosomal RNA, 494 nt
Filed under: uncultured bacterium
Lineage: Bacteria
Description: partial 16S ribosomal RNA
Rfam family: Bacterial small subunit ribosomal RNA
Source: RNAcentral